UAGCAUGUUUUUCAAAAACAUUUCUUUUAGGCUGAAUUGAAAGUAAAAUCUGCCCACUGAUAUAUUGAAGGGCCGCGGUAUCAUGACCGUGCUAAGGUAGCAUAAUCAUUAGUCUCUUAAUUAGGGAAUUGUAUGAAUGGUUAAACACACAAAUAUUUUAUUCUGAAAAAAUUUUAAACUUAAAUUUAAAGUGAAAAUGCUUUAUUACAUUUAAAAGACGAUAAGACCCUUUAGAGCUUAGGAAACUGAUAAAUUGUGCAUUUUGGGGGAAAUGCACAAUUUAUCAGUUUCCUUAGUUGGGGCAACAUUAGAAUAUAAAAAACUUCUAGUUAAUUUGUUAUCUUGUUUUAAGAGAGUUAAAAAGUUACCUAAGGGAUAACAGCGUUAUAAUUUUUGAGAGUUCAUAUCGACAAAAUUGUUUGCGACCUCGAUGUUGAAUUAAAAAUUCUUAAUAGGGCAGUUCUUAUUUAAGAUAGUCUGUUCGACUAUUAAAUUUUUACAUGAUUUGAGUUCAAACCGGCGAAUA
Molecule: ribosomal RNA, 526 nt
Filed under: Entomobrya pekinensis
Lineage: Eukaryota; Metazoa; Arthropoda; Collembola; Entomobryomorpha; Entomobryidae
Description: partial 16S ribosomal RNA
Rfam family: Bacterial large subunit ribosomal RNA
Source: RNAcentral